CAUGGGCUCUGCCACAUAGUGAGACUUUCUCAGGAGGUCAGGUUGGGAUUGAGGAGAGUCAUUUUCAAGGACUGCCCUGGGAUUGUUUUGCCCUGGGUGACAGCAGUGAGCUACCAGGUGCCCUUGGGUAGCCAAAGGACAGCUUAUAGCACCUUGCUGGAGUGGCAUCUGGUGGCAGUGAGAGCACCCAUAUGAUCCCCUCAAAGAGACCAUGUGGAAAGGGAUGUGGGCUCCUGCUGCAGACCUCAGACCUCCAGCCACAAGAACAAGUACAGGGGUUGUCUGUGCAGCUGUUUUCCAAACUAGUCUGUUGUCUCCGUAGGGCACGCCGGUCCUGUACUUAAUACAUGUAUCUGAAGGGAAAGUUGCUUUUUAUUGGAGAAACCUGCCCUCACAAGAUAAACACUGCUGACUUUUUUCUUCUCUUUCAUGUCAAGCACAAGAGCCUGCAGUGGUCACAAGAUCAGUUCAGCAACUCAAGCAGCUUGUUGCUUUGUUUGUAAAAGUCCAAUUUUCUUUUUGAGGAAAAUCAAUACAGCUCAUUACUUACCCGAGAAAAGAUCCCUAUGUCAAGCAGCUCCUCAUUCCACUGGAAGGCAGCCCCUGGGAGGGUUCAACCACUUUUCCUAGGAUGGACAACCGGCUGAUAGCCUUUGUCUUAAAUUAUCCCUCCUGAACCCAAACUGCCCCACUGAGAAGACCGAUCAGCUUCCCACAGGCUGCUGAAGAGCUGCUCCACAAGUGAACACCACCCACGUCGAGCAAAAUACAUGCUGGAAGAAAAACAAAGCAAGACUUUUUUUACAGCUGACAUAAUGACUGUUCAGAUCAAGAAGUGCUGAAGUACUGCCUCUGCCUCACCAGGUUUACAGGCCCAAGGUACCAUAAAAUGAGAGAUACCUGGAGCAAACUGCUUCUCUUGGACUUCAGCCCAUGAACCCACCUACGAUCUGAUUCAAGUGCAAUCAUAAAGGCUAAUGAUGCUCCACUGUCUUGAAUUAUAUCUACAUUGCGCAGUGUAGCGGAGACCUAUCAAACUAAACGUAAGUGAAUUUAGUCAGCACAAUAAGCAGUUUAGCUAAGCUACCGUGGGGCUGCUAAAGGGUAAUUUACCCCUUCUAGAAACAGAUCAGCAGAGACAAAUCUUAACGAAAAAGAAAAAAAAAAAAAAAAAAAAAAGUGAAGAGAAGGCUCUUGUUAUAUAGUUGCAAUUUUUGUAGUCCUAGAGUGAAAAAGAUACUUUACAUCUGAAUUUAAUCAGCAGGUAGUAUUCACUGUAGACGUGGUAGUUCGAUCCAUGGGCAAUGAAUACGUUCAGUCUGAUACUGGAAAUAGAAGUAUUUUGUUUUAGGGGCAGGGAGACUUAGAGCAGCUUUGUCUGAGGAAAUCCUCAUGUGUGAGAAGUGCUGAGCUGGAUAGGAGCCAGCAUGCAACCAGUUUGUGGGAGGAGCUGAUUGAGGUCAUGGCUGCAAAAGCAAGCGAGCGCUGUUGAACAUCCUGAGAGCUACCUGGGAUGAAGGAUAACCAAGUGGUCAGGCAUUCCAGGCGGUGAAGGAACCUAUCUCAUCCUUUCUCAUUUCAUUAGUAUUCCCCAGGAUUCCUCCACCUGUCAUAGUCUGCAUUUGACAUGGAAGGAUAAAAUCAUCCUCAUCGCUUCCCCCCCUGCUCUGAGAACUGCUUGUGCUUUGUUUAAUUAAAAUAUGCUGUGGUUGAUUUCAGGAUGAAUUAAUACUAGGAUUAAUCCAAAGCUACUGCUUGAAGAACAUAUUGUGGCACUUUUGACCAGAUGCUUAAGGUGACACAGGUCUCAGGUGUGACAUCUGGGCUUGAAGAAAAAGUGGCAGAAUUGUCCCCAUGUGCAUUAUCCUGCCAUUGGACGAGUCAGUGCCUUGUCUUCAUUUAAAUGGUCCUUGGAAGAAAGCAAAGCUUAAACACUGAGCAGCUUAUGGAUCAGUGUGCAAUGGACAUCUCUGGGUUUUAGGAAGUUCUUCUCCAAGACUAAAAAGACUGUGAAGCUGAGAACCAAAGAGCAAAACACUGACUCGCUGCUGCCUAAAUUAUAAGCUGGAAGUCCAAGAGCAGAAAUGCCACAAAUACAACAAAACUCCUUUGCCAGGCAACUUGGCAUCAUGAGAAGCAGACAACACUGCUUUUCUCCAGAUGAUACAGACAAACGGACAGCUUGAUGAAAGCAAUAGAUAAGGGACCAUAGUUUAGUGUUGUUACAGUCUGCUUUAUCCUUCAGCAAUGGCAAAAGCUAUGUUUGGUCAUGAAAUGAGGACUUGUCACCACAUUCCAAGUGCUGACUGCAAUUGUGGAUGCAGUAGAUCUCUUGCUAGGACAUGUGGUGAGAGAUUUCCAUGUAAAGAUUCCUUCUUGUCUUAUGCCCUGAGCCAAGGAAAAUAGAAUGCUCGGGCAAGGAAAUCUCCCAACAGAAAGAAAUGUGUCCAUGAAUGAGUGGUCAUGAAUGUAUGCCGGCCCUUCACAUGGGUGGGGGAACUGAAAAUGGGCACUGGACAUAGCCCUGCCCUUUAAGUGGCUAUUUUUAAUCCCGUCUCUAAGCAGAAGAUGGAGGAAGCUCUAACAACCUCCCUUGAGUGCAGGAAGAAAGAAGGGAAAGGAAGAGAGGAUAGAAAGACAGAAAGAAACAAGGAAGGGCAGAAAGAGAGCAGUCUUUAAAGAAAGGUUUCCAUCAAUCCCUGUAUUAGUGGAACAGCAUAGUCAAGUGCAAAAGUCAUGAUGAGAAUUCCUUACUCCUAGCAAACUAUGGCAAUUAAUUCUCUCUGCAAGCAGUACCUUAUAGCAGUGUCCAGCUUGUGGCUACAGCUCUGCAUGCUGGAAUGCAGAGAAGAGACAUAAUAGGGUACAAAUACUUGCCUUAUAGAUGUGGAGGAAAUUGAAGAAGAUAAAAUUUCCCCAUGGAUAGUGCCAUGGGAAAGAAAACAGUUAAGUGGAAAAGGGGAAACAACAAAUUGUUGGCAGAGAUGAAUCCUCCUGGCACCAAAGUUCAGUGCUGCAUCCACAGGAGAAAACACCUCUUCCAAACAUGACAGAUACUCUCCAUCUCUUGUUUCAUAGCUUAUCCUCCCUGUGUUGCCACAGGAAAUCUCAGUCAUAAAGCACUUUAUUAGCUCAGUCCUUAAAUGCUCCAGGAAGGAAUCAACCUGGCUGAGCAAUCUCUACUAUACUGAAAUAGCCCAAGAAAUGCUGAGUCUGGUUUAGACCAAUAACUCUGUAAGGUUUUUCUCACUACUACAAAGAAGGAUGCUGGUAUUUAUGUAACAACCUAAAAAAGUGGAUUUUCUCACCAUGUUUUUUUAUCCUUUGUAUUUAGGGCCAUUCCAACUGGUUUCCUAGGGAAAAAAAAAAAGAAAAGAAAAUACCCAACAGAUAGCAAACCUAGUCUCUCAAAUCCCUCCACACUCUAGGAGACCAUACUGCCUGCCUUGUGGCUCAGGGUCUUCAGACCAAAUCAAGGAUCAGAAUCUAGAUUUCAAUAACAAAGGAUCUUCAAAAGGAAUGCCUGAUCUUUCACUCUGAUGCUCAGGGAAAUCCACUUAAGGGCCCUGCUACUCUCAGCUCUGGCUAUUGAGGCUGAGAGAGGACUGCUCUCUCACAGUGCACCCUUUAGCCACUCUUGAUCAAAGCCUGGAUCAAAGCCCGGCAGCUGGUAUCCAUCCAGAAGCAAACAAACAAAUGCAGGUGAAGAAAUGAGGUUCUGAAAUUUGCCCGUGGGUAGCCAACGUCCUAUAUCAACACUGUGAUUAUUCUCAGCCAUUAAAUAAAAACUGAGAGGAUAAAUCCCAAAUAUAAGAAAUUAAAAUCAAUAAACUCACCGAGUUCUCCAUGUCACAGUUCAGACUCAUAAAGAGAUAGAACCACUAAAUCCCUCCAGUGCUACUCUUUCACAAUUGCACACAUUAAGAAAGAGGAGGAAAGAGUUAUAUGAAACAUUUGGCUGGGUAUAGGAAUCAGUUAUCUUAAUGAUGCAAUAUCAAAAGGAAAUAUUGUCUCAUUUAGAGAUCUACCAGCUACAGUCACUACAAUACUCCCCAAAGGCUGGUAACUAUUCUCACAGAUGCCGAGAAAUUAAGAAUUAUACUCUCACUACGUUUAAUAUCCUAGCUGUACUUCCAGGGAUCAUCUAUCUUAGUAAAGCUUUGGGGAUCUAAUUCAAUUGCUUUCUAUCUGCCAUUGCUGAUUUAUAAAACAUGCGUCCUUCUAACGAUACUGUGUUCCAGUGGAUCUCCCAGAAGCUAGAAGAAGAACUGAAGUUAUUCUCUCUCCUGAACAAUGAACAAGACUGAGCUGAUCUGCUCACCAUCCCUCUAUGACUGUGUCCUGUCCUUAACUGUCCUGUUUCCCAAAGAAAGGCAUGCUGAAAAAAAUGCACCUGCCCGUGCUGAUCGAGCCAUGCAGUAGGACAGAAACGUACUUGCCUUUAAUACUUUGAGCUGAUUGUUCUGCUAAAAUGGACAGCUAGCACAUCUAGCAACAUCUGCCAUGUGAGAUAUCCUUGUGCAAACAAAGAAUAAUUUAUACUAGAUUACUAACAAUUAACAUUGAUGGGGCAACUCUACCAGGAAUCCCAGAGUAACAUCCGAUUGAUAAGCUAUGCAAAGACAGCUGAAAUGCAGCCUUUCCUCAGCUGAGACAUCAUAGUGCUUGGGAACAUCAUGUGCAUGUGCUUAUGAUAGAGGUAAAAUAUCAGCAUUUGAGGUUAGGGAAAAAAAGAGACAAUGCAAAACUACUCAGCGCAAUUCCUGAAGCAUUUCAAGGUGCUCAUGCAUGGGAGUGAGCCCAAGGAUGUGGCACUACGGGAGAUGGCUGCAUGGGAAGGUAGGAUCUC
This is a long non-coding RNA of Gallus gallus (chicken), 4849 nucleotides long. RefSeq lists it as uncharacterized. The record is from RefSeq and is a predicted model, not a curated record. The transcript has 3 exons. Lineage: Eukaryota; Metazoa; Chordata; Aves; Galliformes; Phasianidae.